AAAACGUUAAUAACACACUUACCAAACGCGCAAUAAUGAUGUAGGACAACCGGAGGUAAUUUGGAACCUAACGAAAAUAAUAAACAAAGAAUAGGGAAAGAGGGAUGGGAAUUUUGACAGAGAGGGAGAUGAGAAUCCAGAAUUUACAAAAAAAAAAGAAACCAAAUAGGAUAUUUUGAUAUCCCCCUAAUCAUUUCCCCCUUAAUUCUCUCCACCAAAUCCCCACUAUUUAGAAUUCUAUCGCCACUCAAACUCCUCCCCAUAAUCGUGUAAAAAUAAAUUUGAAGCCAGG
RNAcentral lists this long non-coding RNA (292 nucleotides) under Gossypium barbadense (sea-island cotton). RNAcentral describes it as "long non-coding RNA (GBAR_LNC008893)". Lineage: Eukaryota; Viridiplantae; Streptophyta; Magnoliopsida; Malvales; Malvaceae. The record is from RNAcentral.